AUACGGAGGAUCCGAGCGUUAUCCGGAUUUAUUGGGUUUAAAGGGUGCGCAGGCGGCCAUUUAAGUCAGCGGUUAAAUCGUGGGGCUCAACCCCAUUCUGCCGUUGAUACUGGGUGGCUUGAUUGCGGUCGAGGUUGGCGGAAUUCCUGGUGUAGCGGUGAAAUGCGUAGAUAUGACGAAGAACACCGAUUGCGUAGGCAGCUGACCAGACCGCAAAUGACGCUCAUGCACGAAAGUGCGGGGAUCGAACAGGAUUAGAUACCCUGGUAGUCCGCACAGUAAACGAUGAAUACUUGUUUUCGGCGAUAUAAUGUCGGAGGCAAAGCGAAAGCGAUAAGUAUUCCACCUGGGGAGUACGCCGGCAACGGUGAAACUCAAAUGAAUUGACGGGG
This 392-nucleotide ribosomal RNA is filed under the name uncultured bacterium. Its description in RNAcentral is "partial 16S ribosomal RNA". It matches the Rfam family "Bacterial small subunit ribosomal RNA", at positions 523 to 918 of the family's 1533-position model. The record is from RNAcentral.